AUGCAUCUCUGACAGACCUGGAACAAUUAAAGUAUGCUGCUAAGGUUUCCACAACAGAUGUGGAAAAAAAAGGUCCUUGUGUUUUCUGUCUGGUUGUGGCAGCCAAGACUGAAUGGGUGAAUACAAGA
RNAcentral lists this small nucleolar RNA (128 nucleotides) under Dasypus novemcinctus (nine-banded armadillo). Its description in RNAcentral is "Small nucleolar RNA SNORA31 (ENSDNOG00000033672.1)". The record is from RNAcentral. Lineage: Eukaryota; Metazoa; Chordata; Mammalia; Cingulata; Dasypodidae.